AUUGAACGCUGGCGGCAUGCCUUACACAUGCAAGUCGAACGGCAGCACGGGUGCUUGCACCCGGUGGCGAGUGGCGAACGGGUGAGUAAUAUAUCGGAACGUACCUUAUUGUGGGGGAUAACGCAGCGAAAGCUGUGCUAAUACCGCAUAAUCCCUAAGGGGGAAAGCGGGGGACCGUAAGGCCUCGCGCAAUUAGAGCGGCCGAUACCUGAUUAGCUAGUUGGUGAGGUAAAGGCUCACCAAGGCAACGAUCAGUAGCUGGUCUGAGAGGACGAUCAGCCACACUGGGACUGAGACACGGCCCAGACUCAUACGGGAGGCAGCAGUGGGGAAUUUUGGACAAUGGGGGCAACCCUGAUCCAGCAAGGCCGCGUGAGUGAAGAAGGCCUUCGGGUUGUAAAGCUCUUUUGUCAGGGAAGAAACAGCAGCUCUAACACAGUUUGCGAAUGACGGUACCUGAAGAAUAAGCACCGGCUAACUACGUGCCAGCCGCCGCGGCAA
Molecule: ribosomal RNA, 501 nt
Filed under: uncultured bacterium
Lineage: Bacteria
Description: partial 16S ribosomal RNA
Rfam family: Bacterial small subunit ribosomal RNA
Source: RNAcentral